CAAAUGUACAUCACCAUUUCAUAGGUGGCCUUGUCACCACAGGCCAGCCUGAGCAUGGUGGGUGCCUCACAGAAGAAGUGGUCGAUCUUGUGGGAAGCACAGAAUGGGAGACUCAUGGUGAUGGGGGUGAGGAGGAAGCUGUCCAAAGCACCGCCGAACCAAGAGCUGGCCAAGAUCAUCCAACAGACUUGGUGACUCAUGAUGACAGGAUAGCGGAGGGGGUUGCAGAUGGCCACGUAGCGGUCAUAGGCCAUGAGUCCCAGCAGGAAGAAUUCAGCCCCCACAAAGCCCAUGUAGAGAAAGUACUGGGCUGUACAAGGAGAUAAAGGAGAUGGUCCUCUUGCCCAUGAGAUAAUCAACCAGUGUCUUGGGCACAAUGGUGGAAAUGUACAUCAUGUCAAUGAAGGAGAGGUGGCUGAGCAGGAAGUACAUAGGAGUGUGGAGAUUUGCAGCUUCUUCUUUCUUUACUGUUGAAGAGCAAUUCCAAAGUUGGGUCUCCAUGACACGAAGACGAAUGGACAUUUGGAAAUGGAUGCUUGGUUUAAGAGAGCUUGAUUAUUAUUACAGAACAUCUGGGUCCAAGAGAGUG
This 589-nucleotide long non-coding RNA is filed under the name Equus asinus (donkey). RNAcentral's name for it is "lncRNA (ENSEASG00005027800.1)". Lineage: Eukaryota; Metazoa; Chordata; Mammalia; Perissodactyla; Equidae. The record is from RNAcentral.